GACGAACGCUGGCGGCGUGCUUAACACAUGCAAGUCGAACGGAAAGGCCCUGCUUUUGUGGGGUGCUCGAGUGGCGAACGGGUGAGUAACACGUGAGUAACCUGCCCUUGACUUUGGGAUAACUUCAGGAAACUGGGGCUAAUACCGGAUAGGAGCUCCUGCUGCAUGGUGGGGGUUGGAAAGUUUCGGCGGUUGGGGCUGGACUCGCGGCUUAUCCGCUUGUUGGUGGGGUAGUGGCUUACCAAGGCUUUGACGGAUAGCCGGCCUGAGAGGGUGACCGGCCACAUUGGGACUGAGAGACGGCCCAGACGCCUACGGGAGGCAGCAGUGGGGAAUAUUGCACAAUGGGCGGAAGCCUGAUGCAGCAACGCCGCGUGCGGGAUGACGGCCUUCGGGUUGUAAACCGCUUUCGCCUGUGACGAAGCGUGAGUGACGGUAAUGGGUAAAGAAGCACCGGCUAACUACGUG
RNAcentral lists this ribosomal RNA (468 nucleotides) under uncultured bacterium. Its description in RNAcentral is "partial 16S ribosomal RNA". It matches the Rfam family "Bacterial small subunit ribosomal RNA", at positions 28 to 507 of the family's 1533-position model. The record is from RNAcentral.